AAAAACCAAAAGAAUCAAAAUAUUGACAUAAUUUAUCACACCACCUAAUUACACUGUGACUAGUACUUUUACUGUACAGGUACAGUGUAAAACCUAUAUAGAAACUGUACAUCUGUUUUCUGUACGUACCGAAUUAUUCAUGUGCGAUGUCAUGAUGCUAAUGAAUUCAAACAAUUGAAACCGUGAUUGGUUCGACAUGUUGUCGAUUAAAAUCCGAAUUUACCGACUUAAAUUCGCAUUUCAGAUAAACAGAGAAUGUUAUUAUGUUAUUACUCGAUCCCUGCCCCUCAAUGCUUUUAGUUGAAAACUUUUGACAAAUUUAUGCCUCAAUAUUUGCCAUGACAACAGUUAAAAUCAAAAUAUUAAUGUAAUUUCUCAAUUUGCAAUUGUAACACUGUGGAAUAAAAAUGUGUUCAUAAGACCGAAGUCGGUUUAAAAAAAUAGUGUUUCAUGAAAUCAACAAAGAUUGUAUCUAGUUUUUUGAAAUGCUCGAUAACCCUGGAAUGUGUUGAAAACGGAUUGAUCCCCAAAAUUAAAUCUAACUGUACCCCUCUAGUCUCAUUUCUGUUUAGAUAACGAUGAUAGGAAAUGAAGUGAGAGUGGAGGCUAGGGAGGAUUUUAAGGAGGAGAAGGAUGGCCUCACUAAAUCCCAGACACGAGACAUGUUCCGUUGCUUUACCGUUCCCCGGGGAACCACGUCAGCCGACGUCACAAGUGCUCUGUCAGCUGAUGGUCAGCUGACCCUCUCCAUUAAACGGUCCAAGCCAGUACAGAUCCCUAUUGGACAAGGGGAGGAGAUUAAAAUAGAGAAAAUCGGCGAAAGAUCUGCAGAGAAAUCCACGGAAAAACCUGUAGGCCAAAUUGGCGAGAAUCAGAUGUAAUGUAGAAAAAGAAUAGGAAUUUUGCUUUAGAUUAACUAAUGUUAAAUAUUGUAUAUUUAUUGAUAAAUAAAGAUGUCACCAUAA
Molecule: long non-coding RNA, 965 nt
Organism: Eurytemora carolleeae
Lineage: Eukaryota; Metazoa; Arthropoda; Copepoda; Calanoida; Temoridae
Exons: 2
Source: RefSeq, a predicted model, not a curated record